AACUAAAGCGAAUUUGUWACAGUUUCUGUACUUCAUUGGUAUGCGAAGCUCCCACAACCGUUACCAUGCGGCGGUGGUUUGGUUUGGUCCGCGAGGACCGGGUCCACGGACCC
This 113-nucleotide unclassified non-coding RNA is filed under the name Trypanosoma cruzi marinkellei. RNAcentral describes it as "trans-spliced leader". Lineage: Eukaryota; Euglenozoa; Kinetoplastea; Trypanosomatida; Trypanosomatidae. The record is from RNAcentral.